Medicago truncatula (barrel medic) is the source of this 975-nucleotide long non-coding RNA. RefSeq lists it as uncharacterized. Lineage: Eukaryota; Viridiplantae; Streptophyta; Magnoliopsida; Fabales; Fabaceae. The transcript is spliced from 3 exons. The record is from RefSeq and is a predicted model, not a curated record.
UUUCUUCAUAUUCUUCCCAAAAUGGAAGACAUGCCCAUCACUGACAAAAAUCAUUCUUAACCCAAUUCAAAAUCGAAAUCGAAAUUGAAACCAAUUCAAAAUCUUGAGUUCCUCAUCUCAAAAUCGAAAUCCAUUUGAAAUCCAAUUCUUCCAUUCAAAAUCGAAAUCAUGUUCUUCCAUGCGGUUUAAAAUCGAAAUGCAAUUCCGCUUUGAACCCGUUCGUAUCAUUCACUCCUCCCUUGUUCUAUCAUUACCAAAAGCAAUUUCUUAAUCGCUUUUUCUAUCAUAACCAAAAGCACUUACCCAUCAUCACCACUACAACGAAAUUUCGAUUUCCUUUCAAAUUCUCGCGUGUUACACUUCCCAAGGUUCUAUCAAUGGCAACAUCUUCUCAUUCCAAUCAACAUAAGUUUACCAAUCGACUUGCCUCAGAACAAAGCCCUUAUCUUCUUCAACACGCUCAUAAUCCUGUUGAUUGGUAUCCAUAGGGUGAAGAAGCUUUCGCCAAAGCUCGCCGCAGAGAUUCUCUUUUCGUUGUAGUGGUGAUGAUGGGGUCGAACUGAUUCAUGUUUCAGUUUGUUACUCAUUCAUUCAUGUCCAUGACUCGCCUUCCAGUUCUAUUAUCGCGUGUUGAUGUUGGCUGCUCGCAACUGCUCUCAGAUAUGCAGGCUUUCAAGGUCAGGCUCUUGAUAUGGAAAGUGCUCCUGGUUUCUAAAAAUGAAGUUAUACUUGUUUGAAGAGGGUGUUGUCAGAGGGAUAACUGUCAUGGAUCUUCUAAUAAUAAGUCUGACCUCAUUCUAUCUGCAAACAGUUGCUCAAAGACCAACAUGUUUGUUUGGUCCUUGCUAUCUUGUUUUUCAAUGUAUUUUCAGCUAUCCUUGGUCUCCUUAUUAGCCCCCCCCGCGUUCUAUAAGCUUUUAUUUACCCGAGACACGGGUCAUUCUGUGAGAUAAAAUGUUGAUGUUGUUUCCUUAA